This 212-nucleotide unclassified non-coding RNA is filed under the name Hevea brasiliensis (rubber tree). The record is from RNAcentral. Lineage: Eukaryota; Viridiplantae; Streptophyta; Magnoliopsida; Malpighiales; Euphorbiaceae.
GCCACAGGCACAUAACGACAAAUCCACCACCAUCUCCUCCACUCUCUCACUCCUAUGAGGUCCGCGAUCUAACCAUUUCCCUACUCGGUCCGGUGCUUAUUUGCAUGUUGCGCUUUCUAAGCUUGCCUCGCGACCCUCGCUCGCCUAGUGCUCAUUUGCUUCAUGCCUUGCUCGCAUGUUUUACUCUCAACAUCUCAACAUCUUGAUUGUUU